AUAUAGCUAUAGAUAUAGAUAUGGGUUGUGUCUACUGCCUCUUGUUUGUUCUCUCUGUAUCUAGAUAUAGAUAGAGAAAGAGAUAUAUAUGCCCCUAUUCAUUUAUGCCAGCCCCAUCCCCGGAGGGUCUGAACACUCUUGCUGCCUGCCAGGAUAACACUGUUUAAUAAGCCUGAGGUUGCAUUAACUUUACCAGGUAAUCACUGCUGGACCAGGGCAGCGGGUAUGAAGUGAACCUCCCCGUGUGCCCCCUCCCCUGCCAGUCCAGUCCUUGCUUCCGUGCCUCUGCCCAGACCUCGAACAGGCAGAGAGGAGUCUGUGAGGUCUGAAGGCAGCUUACCCAUGAGUGAUGGCUUACCCCCUCCUUCGAGCAGGGGUGGGGAAUCUGUGUGUGGAGGGGUCUUUUGGAGGCAUCCUAACCUCCGGCUGCAGACGAGGUGUUUGCACAAGAGCUGUGCUAGCCAGGCACCAGCGAGAGCGUGCCAAAAGCCCAGCUCACAGAGAUGUAAUCCCUGCCCAGGAGACAGAGGAGAACAAUGCAAGCCACGCUGCAGCCCCAGCCUGGCUGCGCCUGGCAGAGCUCUGCUCCCAGCACGGACAGGCGCCGAUCGGGAAAGGGCCGCGGGAACGCGAUGUGCUUGGUGGGAGGGAACCGGGAUACCGAUCUGGAGGAAGCUGUGCACACAUCCCUUGUACGGCCUCCCCGUCUCACCCAGGUCCGGCCCCACACAUAGACGAGGGGCAGGAUGUUCCUUUCUACCGGUGCAGCUUCUCCUGGUGCAUUUGCUCCUUUCCUGGUGCCCCGACAAGGCUGGGUGGCUGGCAGAGCAAGCAGAGAGUCUUUAAUAGCAUCAAGCCAUGCAAGCUUCAUAUGCACACGUCUGGCAAGGGCUCUUCUGCCUGCAUUCUCCAUCCUCCCAUUGUCUCCUCUUCCUCGGCCUCUGCAGACACCGGAGAAGCCGCUCACCCUUGGAGGAAAGGGUCCCCUGGACUCACAGUAUUUCCUCUGCCCAGUUACCGCCAAGGCGGAUACAAUGUGCUGAAGGCACCAGACGUAACCUGCUCCUUCCGCGCGCUCCCCACCCAACCCGCUUUCAGACCAAAGUCGUGUCCAACAGCUUGAAAACUUCCCUGCCGUUAACACGGCAUCGGGCACCGGAGCAAGGCCUUUCCCGCGCCAAAGUCAACAAGGGAUUCGCAGAGGUGUUGUGGAACGAGAGUGACUUGCCGCCGAGCCCGCAAGGAGAUUUACUGAAGCCGUUUUCACUGAAGAUUGUAAAACUCGGGGCUCUGCGGCUUGGCUGUUAAAAUUUGUUUCAGGCUCCUCCAGGUCCUGGCUCAGGAACCGGGAGGGGAUUUUCAUUUCUGGGUUGCUCUCGAUGCAGAUGAAGCUGGUCCUGCAUCUCCCUCCAGCCUCCUCUUCAGACCCAGAGGAUGUAUCUAACUUCAUCGUAUUUAACUUCAUCGUAUUUAACUUCAUCUGCUUCCUCCGAGCUCCCUGCUGCAGCGGAGGGGAGGGGACACGGCCGCACGAUGCACUCUUGAGUCUCUGGAGGCAUCUCCAGCCACCCCCGGAGAGGUCUGCAGCAUCCUCAACCUAGGGUGUGAGGGACUGGGCAUCCUUCUUCCCCGGGGCACCCCUGGGUCUCCAGGCAGGACCCAGUGACAGACGUGAAGUACUUUAAACAAGUCUGGAGGCAUUUCAGCCGGGCUGUUUUAAAUGAAGUGGAAGCUGUUGAGUCCAAGUGAUUAGUCAUGAGCAUCGUUUAAUUGCUUCUGAUAUGUAACGAGAAAAUGGAAAAGCUUCCUUGGAGUAUUAGCUCAAGGCGGAUUAAGCGCCCUCUCAGCUGAGAAGCGGCUCUAUGCAUUAUUCUGUGCACACCCACACCAAUGCACACACCCACGGGGCACAUGGGGUAGCGACACGCCAGCUACCCAUGCGUGCCCGCUGGCAGAUCUGUGCACACACAGCAGCCCCGGCACAGGCCACGUACCCCGUCCAAUGCUCAAAGCAAACGUGCAUCCAAAAGCGUGUCUGUUGUUCUGCACGUCCACACACAUAUAAGGUGUGACCUCCUAUGCUCCUCAUAUGCACCCCUGUGACUCAUCCCGCUCGCACCUACAUACCGAGUCAUGUACCUACGUGCUCAGCCAGGCUCAGCUGCAUGUUCCCAGGGGGGCAAGCGGGACGGCAGGGUGACUCCCUUCCCUGAAACUAAAGCUCGACUUCUACACGUCCUCCUCGGUGUCUCCCUGCUGCACAUGGCAUGGGUGGGAGUCAGGGGACAAGGAACCAGACCUCCCCAUGUGCCCCUGCCAGCACACAUGCCCCUGCCCAUCAGACACCCCUCCGCACACGGACGUGCCGGUGAAAAGAAGAGCUCAUGAACAUUUCACGCCGGUUGCUUUCCUGGGGCCCGUUCGCCCGGUGCUUUCCAAAGCACGAAGCAAAACCAACCCCUCCAUCAGAUGCUGAGAUCAGAGGCUGACACGAGUGGGGCUUUGGUGCCUGCUGGUUUGCGCUGGUUUUCAUCCGAGCGGCAGAUGAAGCGAUGGGAGUGCGGGCUGGAGGGGAUGCUAUCAGAGCCCACACCCACUGCCCUGGCCUCCUGGGAAAGGAGGAGGAGGAGGAGGAGGAGGAGGGAGGGAACGCUCCCAAACUCUUUAAUCUUCCUGGACGGUGCCUCAAGCUGCUGGUUAGAAAUGCAUGCUGGGCUCGGAGGCCCCAAAAGACACAGGAUAAAAAAGACUAGCUCAGCCCAGCCCUUCCUUCCCUGCAUGUGUGGUAAUACUCCAGCCUGGGAGCCAAGGGGAAAGGAGGCAGAGGCAGGCGUGCUACAGGCAUUUGCUUUAUCCGGAGAUGGGCCGAGGGGCCUGGACAUGGCAGCGGGGAGCAGGGUUUUCUGCAGCGCCCGUGGCAGAGACGUGGCAUCCAGCACAGAGGCAGGGAGGCAGCAGGGACGUGUAAUGCAGACAGCGUGCCCGGGGGCAUCGGAGAGGCGGCACACGCAGCUGACACACGUGAUGUGUGCAGGGUUAGGGCGCCGGUGUGCCUGGCUUCAUGCAGGAAUGGCCCGCAGCGCAGGAGGUGCAGAAUUGCACCCAUGCAUCCUGCACAGCCCAAGCAAAGCCCCUCUGCAUUUCCUAAACCGGAGCACGACCUACCCAUGAGGGUUACAGACUGGGACUCACGGCCCGUCUUUGCCCAAACCAUGUGUCCGCCCUCCCUUUCAGCUGCUUGCUUACCCUUAGCUCUUCCUUCCUUCCUCCCUCCUCAUGCCCUUUCCCAGAGACCCUUUUCCCCAGAUUCCCUCUUUGCUCUGGAGCCCAGACUGCAGCCAGUGCUGCCAGGCAGCAGCUGGGCUAAACUAGCUGCCUUUCCCCUCUGCCGGUUAAAAAAGACUCCAGCGAAAUGGUGAACCCAAGCCCAGCUAGCGACAGGUUUCACAGUUCCCAGCCUGGGCCAAACUCUGCAGCGAGGGAGCAAGCCAAGCCCUCCUCCGUGCCAGCAGGAAGUAGGAACGGAGCGGGAAGGAGAUGGGAAUCGCAGGCACCUGGCAGAGGCAGCAGCUCCAGGUGGGUGGCAUGGCUUGCUGCGUGACUGCAUGCUGAGCUCCCAGGUCCCAGGCGGGCCCCAUGCAUGGAGGGCUCUUUUCCAGUGGUCCCAUGUUCCAGCUGCCCUUCCUCUUCGCGGAAGAAAUGAGGCCUGGCUUGCUCUGGGCUGGCCUGUCAGGAGCCUUGUGAUCCAGCAUCUGUCGCCUUGACCUUGCAGUUCUCAGUCCCGGUCCUCUCUCCCUGUCCCCUCUCUGUACCGUCUCCCUAUCUCCUCUCUGCCUAGGGCAGGAGCAUGCGGUACAACGUUCUCCUUAGCACUGCAGAGGGCAAUUAUUGACUGUUUUCACUUGUUCUCCAUGACACUAAUGAGAUGUGGCUGUCACAUUAUGCCACUCACAUUAUGCCUGCUGCCACCAGCAUGGGGAGCUUUCAUCCUCCCUCUCUUUCAGCCAAAUGAAGAUGUUGAGGCCGCCGGUUCUGGGUUUGGCUGAAGCCAGGUGGAAGAAAAAGAAGUCCUUCCAGGUUUACUUACAAGGAUUCGGUUUCUAGCCAGGGCUCUCUGCGAAUAGCGACUUCAGCCAGGGUUGUCCAAGCUCCUCGGUUUAUCCAGAUGUGCUCACGUGACACCAAAGACUUCUCAGAGGGGGUUCGGUGCACGAGCUUUCUGUCCGAUGAGCAUCCUAGCAAGCUACGUGGAGCCCAGAUGAACCAAGUAGCUUUCUGCCCCUUCUUGUGGCAGAAGAAGCCUGUGUUUUGAGAUCCCCACACCUCACAUCCGUCUCUGGCAAGGGUGUCAUUACAAUGGCAUUAUCCCAUGGGGUGGAAGGUGCCCACCUGCUUGACAGCCCUGGAGGAUGAUGUCUUCCCUCUGUUUGGGGAAAGAGUACAGAUGUGCCACUGCAGCUACUCAUUCAUUCAUAGAUUCAUAGAUGUUAGGGGUUGGAAGGGACCUCAGAAGAUCACUGGAUCCAGCCCUCUGCACCAAGCAGUAAAGACUAAUGGUGCAUCCCUGUGGACCCCCUUCUAGUGAGGAGAGAAGCAGGUCACUCACCGCAUCCUCAUCCUUGGUCUUGCCAUGGACACCGUCCCCUUAUCAGCUAGAUCUGGCAGCUGUAAAAACACCAUCUUGCUCCUGGCACCAAACUGAACCCACCCCAACCCGAAAUGCUUCUGCCGAGAAACUCUCUGAUCCUCACAGCUCCGAGACACACAGGCCAGGCAGACGGACAGAGAUUCAUUCAAGUUUAAUCUGCCACUCUUUUAAGUGUGUCCAUAGUUUUAAUGCACCUUGGCUGAAAAUGCAGGGAUUAAUAAUAGAGGAGGGUUACUUGGAGUCUCAAGUUUCUUGCGUCUCCAAGAGAAAUAUGGAUGUGCGCUUGGUGGGAUUUUUGUGUGCAUUUUUUUGGCAGAAAGGCCAAAGUAAAUCCCAUGGCUGCUAGAUCCGCCAAGUAGGAGGCGGCAAGGAUCUGCAUGCACUUUGCUUGCCUUUACGUCCCAUCUGGAUCAGCACCCUUUGUUAGGCAUCUAGGGAGGAGACCCUCGGCCUUAUUCCAAGAGCCGAGUCUCGUCCGUGCCAUCUGUAACCAUCAGAGUGCAACAGCGCUCUCCCUUAUGAGCGAACCGUAUGUUUUUCCUCUAGACCGGCUAGCAGGGAGGAAGCAGGAAGCGCAGGAAUCUGUGAGCCUGGGCCUUGCCACCAGGCUGAACAGACGCCCCUGUGCAUAUUGCUCUGGUAUUUAGCCUGCAGACCCCUAAGGCUUUUUUUGAGGCCCGAUGAGGAAGGUCUGAGCCAGCAAGCAAACACAUUUCUGCAUCACACUUAAACGGGAGGAGGUGGCUGAGCAACCCUGCCUAGUGCAUCUGGGGAACUGCAAACCUCUCUGUUUGAUUGGGGAGGGGUCUUUAUUCCUUUGUCCCUUGUGCAUGUCAACAGCGAGUGAAACCGUCUUGUAAUGCAAGGAGCUGCAAGCAAAGGAGAUGCUCCCAUGAAAAGGGAAGAUAAGGCUGAGCAGGAGGGAUGAUGAUACAGGAGGCCAGCUGUGCUCCUUCUAACCCAGGGAGGGGCAGAUGUUAACCUCGGUUGUACCAAGGCACUUCUGGAAGAGCCCUGCUGACUUUGCUGGAGCUGCUUGGGCUUGCCACAGUCUCAUGAUGGCUUGGUCUUCACGGCAGAGUUAAUUGGUAUACCUAUAGGAUGCCAAAAGAUCACACCCGCUUGUCAGUGUAACUCAGCCAGCUCUUUCUGCUCUGCAUAUGGAUGCAGCUGUGCUGGCAGAGGAAGCUUCAAUUGUGCGGGGAGGCUGGCAUCGAAGCCAAGAGCCCCAUGCCACCUAUGCACUAGGGCAGGGGCAUAGGUGCUGCAAGGGGCCUGGGCGGUCUCUGUGUGUAGCACGCAGCAGAUCGGGGGGGAACAGGGAGCACGGUGGCAGGUAGGGCAGGGAGCAGAAAGCAGAGCAGCAGACCAGGCAGGGAAAGGGGGUCAGGGCGGCACCUGUUCUGACUCGAGGUGGUGGGGGGUGGGCAGGAUAGGUGAGGCACGGUCCCAGGAUGAGGCGUGAGCCGAUGCGGCGUUAACGUGGGCUACCCAAUCCCCAAUCCCUCGCUCUCGCUCUGUCUCCCGCCUGCCUCGACCGGCUUUUUUCCCUCCUGGUCCUCCUCACCUCUUCCUGCCGCAUGGCGCUGGGCGCAACUUAAAUCGCCUGCACGGCGCGCGCUUCGCAGCCAUAAACACAGCUCCCUUCUGUAAAGCUUUUUGAGCUGCAUAAAUGAAGAACUGCUGAAAUCUGGAUAAACACACGAGGGCUGUUGUAACUAUUGGCAUUGGCCUGCGUUCGUCAGCGAAGCUGCCAAACCCUUUAAUGAGGAUGUACUUACCAGCCUAGCCCUGAGUUACAGCUUCGGUGAAAGCAGAGGGUGAUUUCAUUUUUUUUUUCCAGGGUAAUUAAUAAUAUCGCUCUGGCUGGCAGCAAACGAAGAGCCAGCAGAGGCGAGAGCUUAAAAUAAGGAAAAGUUAAACGGCUUGACGCUGCUAACCUUUCCAUGCCGGGGCCAAAUAACUGACAUGAAUCAGACGUGCAGAAAUCUAUACGUACAGGGGGAGACGUUUCUAAUCUAGAUGAUUAAAAACCAGCCUGUUGCAGCUAUCUUUUAACGUAACGUCUUCUGGCUGCUCAAGUGUUCGAGCCUGCUUUCUCAGCCCGCUCAAUUAAAAGAGCGCUUUAUAUUCCACAGGCUUAGAGAUGACUUUUUUUUCCACAAUUAAUUAGGAAGCAGCUAAUGGGACCGGCUGGCUCGGGGGGUUUGCAGCGGGAUGUCAUGUCUCUGGCUGCCGGGGGCGUGUUUCAGCUGGCGACGGGCUGAGUCUGGUGGCUUACGUGAAAUGACCUGAUGGGCUCAUGCAGGAUCCUAGUGGACAGGUGCCCACAUCACAGAAACCACCAUCAUACUUGGCACCGAGGGGCAGUCACGGCCGAGUGGCUGAGGAAUGAACGGGCCUGGAGACAGAUCUGUGCUUUCCAGAGCUGCCAAGGUUCAGCUGGGGUCCUCAGGGAGACUUAUACAGGGCUGGAGUUGUUUAACGGCAACCUGGUGGCUUGUCAAGAGAAAAUUUUUGCACCCAAUGAGGAAAUCGUAUAAAUGUAACACUGGAAUUUAAUUUAAUAUAUAACACACAUGUACACACAGGCAUUACACGCCAGAUGUUUCAGAGCUAGCCAGCGGCUUUGCCACCAGCAAGCUAUCGAGGGCUCUGUUUUGACUCUGCCAUUGCGGGCAGACUCGUUCAGUGUUGCUUGAGCAUCCAAGCACUAGAUUUGCACCUGCUAAUUUGCUAUUUAGUCAUCUGCAGGACCUUCAUUAUACCUGAAACAUUGCAGGCACAAAAUCCCCGAGUGAGUGUAAGGCCAGGCUGUGAUGCGGCCCUCUCGAAACAAAAACAUUCGUUCCCCGUUACCCAUAUCCCAUUGCUUUUGAUCAUGUUGCUCUGGCAUUUUAAAUGGCAUUUCCUCCCAUCUGUUGCACAUUAACAGACAAAGAAGGGUGGGGAGUGGGGUGAGGGGGGAAAAACCGGAUUCCCAAGAAACGCUGCUUUGGAGAAGGCUUGGAUUGAGCAAGCGGAUCCCCCCAGCAGGACCGGGAGAGAUGGCACUGCGGCUUGCUAAAGGAAAUAGUUGUCCACCAGGCUGCAGAGCCUCUCCCUAGGCACAUGCAUGUGUUAUUUGAAAAUAGAGAGCUUUUCCGCCGUGACUCAAGCCUUCGUGACAACAGCACCCGGCAGCCCCGGGCCUGCUCCAUCAAGCCCCGGAGCCGAGGACGCUGGCCAGCGGAGGACAAGCCGGUGGAGGGGCACGUGCGCAUUAAUCCCCCUCGCCAGAAGCUGCUUUCUCCCUCUGUCCUCCUCUCCAUCUCCCGUUUCUAUUUAUCCCUCUGCAGACUGUAGCAUCUCUUCUUCCUCAGCCUAUUUUCCCCUUUAACGUGAUAAGGCCUUUCCCUUGUUUUAAAGCAAGGCUCCUCCCCAUCUAUCUGACCCAUCUCCAGUCCUCGGCGCUCCCAAAAUGGUCAAAAAAGCCCUGGCCAGAGGACUGGCCUGAGAUAACGUGUGAGGUCGGCUCUGAGCAGGACUCCCCCAGCCCCACGAGGAGCAGCACGGGGCUGCCGAAGGAUGGGCAGAGCCGCGGAGGUGUGGGGCGCUGGCAGGAGCUCAGAGGAGCGCGUGUGGGGGGACCGCUGGUCGAGUGGCAGGCUGCCAGCCGAGGUGGCAGACUUGGCGUGCCCACCGUCCCUCCUGGAGGUAUCCCUGGGCGUCCGGGAUUGAGGCAGACUGGUGACAGGCAAGGAGGGCUGAAGUUUGCAGCUCUGACAAAGAAACCCAUUCUCCCGUGGCCAGGUCUCAGGGUGCUGUAGUGUGCUCCCUCUUCCACACCAGCUGGCCCCUAGGCCAGCACUUUCCUGCAGCUUUGCCUCUCCCUGGCAGAGCCGGGCACUCGUGGAUUUGGGGUUUCCGUACGGUGGCAGAGGUGAGGCUCAGCCUAUUCCCCUGUGCUUUAAAAGCACGGCACAGGAUCCACGUAGGAAGAAGCAGCUGCUACUGCAGCGAGUGGCAGCUUGGCUAUACCCCUGACUGCUAGCAUUUGUUCUGCUGGGGGCGAGGUUGGCCAUGGCGAGGUGCACCACGGACUUUGGCUUCCACCUACCAAUUACAGAAAUAAAAGUCUGAAGGGACUCGUCUGCUCGGACCUCCCGGCUACCACAGGCCUUUCAGCUUCACCCAAAUACCUCGGGUCAAGCCCAAAGACACUGGUUGCAUCAAGUAUUUCCGACCUCAAGAAGCUGAACUUGGUGCCGCAGGUAAAGAUCAAAAGAGACCAAAGGACAGCCAGGAAUUGAUUCCUUGAGAUGCAUCCAGGCGAUCCUCAAAGAAAACCUCCAACAACCACUCCUUGACUAAAAAGACAUGCCAGCAUGGAAACCUCUCGGCUCGGCGGUGAGACCCACUGAGGACGGGCAACCAAGCCAAGCCAAACCAAACCAGCAACUUCAUGGUGUUUUCCGUCUCAGGACGCGGAGCAAUGGGCUCGGGCUGCAGCGAGG
Long non-coding RNA from Alligator mississippiensis (American alligator), 9144 nucleotides. RefSeq lists it as uncharacterized. The transcript has 2 exons. The record is from RefSeq and is a predicted model, not a curated record. NCBI's taxonomy places the organism in Eukaryota, Metazoa, Chordata, Crocodylia, Alligatoridae.